UACUAUCGCGAUCGCUGCUGCAUCCCCUAGCGAAAGCUUAGAGAAGCCUCCCUGCAGGCUCGCCUAACGAAGGUGCUAGCGAAGGCCUGCGGGUUUUGGGUUCUUCAUUGAUAACAGUCCGAUCUCGACAACCCAAACCAUAUGGUAUCCAUCAGAAACGAAAUGAUUAAAACAUUCAAGGCAUUGGUUUACAUAUUCAUAUAUAUCUAACCGUGGGUAAAACCUCGC
Molecule: long non-coding RNA, 228 nt
Filed under: Lathyrus oleraceus (garden pea)
Lineage: Eukaryota; Viridiplantae; Streptophyta; Magnoliopsida; Fabales; Fabaceae
Description: Pisum sativum (pea) long non-coding RNA (PSAT_LNC015309)
Source: RNAcentral